UGGUUCUGGCACCGAUGAAGAACGCAGCGAAAUGCGAUAAGUAAUGCGAAUUGCAGAGUCCAGCGAGCCAUCGAGUCUUUGAACGCACAUUGCGCCCGCCGGCAUCCCGGCGGGCACGCCCGUCCGAGAGUCGCUAAACACCCAUCGGGCCCCCGCGCCCGGCGAUGGGGCGCCGCGCGUAGCCGCGGGCCCCUAAAGACAGCGGCGGAACCCAUCGCGUCGAGGCCCAGCAACCUGGGGCCGGCGCGCCUGGCGACCUCCUUAGCGACCACUGUUGACCUCGGAUCGGGCGGGAAUACCCGCUGA
RNAcentral lists this unclassified non-coding RNA (306 nucleotides) under uncultured fungus. RNAcentral describes it as "partial contains 5.8S ribosomal RNA and internal transcribed spacer 2". The stretch from base 1 to 133 matches the Rfam family "5.8S ribosomal RNA", at positions 22 to 154 of the family's 154-position model. The record is from RNAcentral. Lineage: Eukaryota; Fungi.